ACUUCUGCUGUUCAAUGCUGCAAAUGAUGCCUUUAGCAAGUGUAAUCAUCAGCUUGUCCAUCUGCCUGAUAUACACCAGCAGGAAAGAAUGAAGGCGGAUGAAAAUCCUAUCAUACCCUGCAGAAAAAAAAAGGACAAAUAAGGAUAUAGAAGGAUCUAGGAGAUGGCUGCAACUUAGAGGGGACUGGAAGGAAGUCAAAAACUAAUGAAGGAAUUCAGAUGCGCUCUGUGAGCUUGUUGUGGCUAAUCCUCAACUCCAGCGGGAAGGACUUAGCUGUUGUUACUCGUAUACGUGUAGGGCAGGAAAAGAAGCAUUAACAACAGAGAAGAUUCUUGCUUUCAGUGCUCCUCGCAGCUAUCUGCAUAUCACAACCCCCAUGACACAUCAUUACUGCUAUUUCAAUCUCUGCAGGAGAAUCAUUAUCUGUGAACUGGAGCAUGCUCAUCAAACACUGCAUCCUGCAUGAUGACAAGAGCUUCACUCCAGCAAAUUAAUGAAGUGCAUGCUCAGUGCUAAGCAGCCAAGGUCUCACUGACUUCAAUGAGACUAAAGUUAAUUGCCUCACUGGAGUAUGAUAGUGUUGUCAGAUCAGAAGGUUGGAAGCUACUGAAUAACAAUAAUAACAAUAAAAAAAAUAUAAUGAUGAUGCCUUCUUACUCCUCAAGAACAAGAAAAUUACAUGUCUAUUAAUUUAUGUCUUUAUAAAAUAAAGUUUACUUAAGGAUUUGGCCAACAGAUAUUGUAAAAUAUUUUCAAUUCUUUGGCUGCUAGUAUCUUUAUAAAAUAAAGAGAGACUAGGAGAAUCUUAAGAAAUAAUGAUGGCUAUUUUUAACAUGAAUGCACACAAAAAAGAUAAAACUCCCUUCUUUCCUUCUCUGGGCAUUCCUUUAACAACUGUGUAGGAAGCA
Molecule: long non-coding RNA, 909 nt
Organism: Neopelma chrysocephalum (saffron-crested tyrant-manakin)
Lineage: Eukaryota; Metazoa; Chordata; Aves; Passeriformes; Pipridae
Exons: 3
Source: RefSeq, a predicted model, not a curated record